This 497-nucleotide ribosomal RNA is filed under the name uncultured bacterium. RNAcentral's name for it is "partial 16S ribosomal RNA". It matches the Rfam family "Bacterial small subunit ribosomal RNA", at positions 28 to 507 of the family's 1533-position model. The record is from RNAcentral.
GAUGAACGCUGGCGGCGUGCCUAAUACAUGCAAGUCGAGCGAACAGACGAGGAGCUUGCUCCUCUGACGUUAGCGGCGGACGGGUGAGUAACACGUGGAUAACCUACCUAUAAGGCUGGGAUAACUUCGGGAAACCGGAGCUAAUACCGGAUAAUAUAUUGAACCGCAUGGUUCAAUAGUGAAAGACGGUUUUGCUGUCACUUAUAGAUGGAUCCGCGCCGCAUUAGCUAGUUGGUAAGGUAACGGCUUACCAAGGCGACGAUGCGUAGCCGACCCGAGAGGGUGAUCGGCCACACUGGAACUGAGACACGGUCCAGACUCCUACGGGAGGCAGCAGUAGGGAAUCUUCCGCAAUGGGCGAAAGCCUGACGGAGCAACGCCGCGUGAGUGAUGAAGGUCUUCGGAUCGUAAAACUCUGUUAUUAGGGAAGAACAAAUGUGUAAGUAACUAUGCACGUCUUGACGGUACCUAAUCAGAAAGCCACGGCUAACUACGUG